This 354-nucleotide long non-coding RNA is filed under the name Androctonus crassicauda. Lineage: Eukaryota; Metazoa; Arthropoda; Arachnida; Scorpiones; Buthidae. The record is from RNAcentral.
AUUCUUUUUCUCUCUCCCAUUUGUUUCAAAGAAAAAAAACAUUUGUUUAGAUUAUAUUUUCUUAGAGGGAAAGAAAUGUUACCAAGCCACAAAGUUCGCAUUCAUCACAAAUUUAUUGUAAAUAGCAGUUAUACACCUCAUCAUAAUUCCAACCGGAACGACAUAAGCCGGAGCAUUCUCUCAUCUAAAGUCGAAGUAAGAACAAACAAACAUAGAAGAAUAAUGGUCAACUGGCGAACCGAAAGACACGCAGGUGGUGGAGAAAGAAAAAAGAAGGUAAAAGAAUGUAAUCAGGGGAUCAUCUUUCUGAAAGGGGAAGGGAAAAGUUUUGCGAGAGAGAACCAUCAAGAGAGG